Molecule: ribosomal RNA, 477 nt
Filed under: Flavobacterium sp.
Lineage: Bacteria; Pseudomonadati; Bacteroidota; Flavobacteriia; Flavobacteriales; Flavobacteriaceae
Description: bacterial SSU rRNA
Rfam family: Bacterial small subunit ribosomal RNA
Source: RNAcentral
CUGAUCCNGCCAUGCCGCGUGCAGGAUGACGGUCCUAUGGAUUGUAAACUGCUUUUAUACGAGAAGAAACACUCCUUCGUGAAGGAGCUUGACGGUAUCGUAAGAAUAAGGAUCGGCUAACUCCGUGCCAGCAGCCGCGGUAAUACGGAGGAUCCAAGCGUUAUCCGGAAUCAUUGGGUUUAAAGGGUCCGUAGGCGGUUUAGUAAGUCAGUGGUGAAAGCCCAUCGCUCAACGGUGGAACGGCCAUUGAUACUGCUAGACUUGAAUUAUUAGGAAGUAACUAGAAUAUGUAGUGUAGCGGUGAAAUGCUUAGAGAUUACAUGGAAUACCAAUUGCGAAGGCAGGUUACUACUAAUAUAUUGACGCUGAUGGACGAAAGCGUGGGUAGCGAACAGGAUUAGAUACCCUGGUAGUCCACGCCGUAAACGAUGGAUACUAGCUGUUGGGAGCAAUCUCAGUGGCUAAGCGAAAGUGAUA